Molecule: small nucleolar RNA, 76 nt
Filed under: Brassica oleracea var. oleracea
Lineage: Eukaryota; Viridiplantae; Streptophyta; Magnoliopsida; Brassicales; Brassicaceae
Description: Small nucleolar RNA SNORD18
Rfam family: Small nucleolar RNA SNORD18
About the family: U18 is a member of the C/D class of snoRNA which contain the C (UGAUGA) and D (CUGA) box motifs. It is encoded in introns of ribosomal protein L1 in Xenopus and human, and in introns of elongation factor 1 beta in yeast. Related snoRNAs in Arabidopsis and rice have been named R63 and Z106 respectively.
Source: Rfam by way of RNAcentral
GAGACAUGAUGAGUAACAAAUUGGUCCGUGUUUCAGAUUAACCAUGACUGAUAAUUUUACACCAAAUUCUGAUCUU